GGAAGGAUCAUUAUUGAAUGAACUUGGUGUGGUUGUUGCUGGCCCUCUCGGGGGCAUGUGCACACCCACCAUCCUCAUCUCUCCACCUGUGCACCUCUUGUAGACCUGGAUAGACUUUCCGAGGCAACUCGGUCGGGAAGAUUGCUGCGCUCUGUGAGCCAGCUUUCUUUGCAUGUCCAGGCCUAUGUUUUUCAUAUACCCCUAUAGAAUGUAACAGAAUGCAUCAUUGGGCCUUGUGCCUAUAAACCUUAUACAACUUUCAGCAACGGAUCUCUUGGCUCUCGCAUCGAUGAAGAACGCAGCGAAAUGCGAUAAGUAAUGUGAAUUGCAGAAUUCAGUGAAUCAUCGAAUCUUUGAACGCACCUUGCGCUCCUUGGUAUUCCGAGGAGCAUGCCUGUUUGAGUGUCAUUAACUUCUCAACCUUAUUAGCUUUUGUUGAUAAUGGAUUGGAUGUGGGGGUUUAUUUGCUGGCUUCUUCCCAGAGAUCAGCUCCCCUUAAAUGCAUUAGCUGGUGCCCCGCGUGGACCAUCUAUUGGUGUGAUAAUUAUCUACGCCGUGGAUGUCUGCAAUCAUAUGGGUUUUGCACUGCUUCUAACCGUCUGUUCAUUCGGACAAUACAUGACAAUUUGACCUCAAAUCAGGUAGGACUACCCGCUGAACUUAAGCAUAUCAAUAAGCGGAGGAAAAGAAACUAACAAGGAUUCCCCUAGUAACUGCGAGUGAAGCGGGAAAAGCUCAAAUUUAAAAUCUGGCGGUCUCCGGCCGUCCGAGUUGUAAUCUAGAGAAGUGUUAUCCGCGCUGG
This 802-nucleotide ribosomal RNA is filed under the name uncultured fungus. RNAcentral describes it as "eukaryotic LSU rRNA". The stretch from base 255 to 408 matches the Rfam family "5.8S ribosomal RNA". Lineage: Eukaryota; Fungi. The record is from RNAcentral.